This is a long non-coding RNA of Bactrocera neohumeralis, 938 nucleotides long. RefSeq lists it as uncharacterized. Lineage: Eukaryota; Metazoa; Arthropoda; Insecta; Diptera; Tephritidae. The transcript is spliced from 3 exons. The record is from RefSeq and is a predicted model, not a curated record.
GAUUGAUUUCAUCAUAACCUCGAUAAGCCCAGGCCCUUGAUGGAGCCUCAUUGCAAAAAACUAAGUUAAGUUCAAAAAUAAUUGUUCGCAAAUGUUCCCUGUUUUAAUUUAAUUUAAUUUUAUUUAUUUGCCGAGAUGUACAUAUAUUUCAAGUUACUGUAAACAACAAAAAUAGCGGUCGUAUAUCAAAACGUUAUCGGUAUGUGUAUCAUCAAAAAUAUCAAGCAUUACCAAGAAUGAUAGAAACAAGAUUGCGCAAUGCGCAUGUUUGCUUUCAGUCAGCUGUUCUUGCUGACGUCACGGUUGACUUAUUAUUCGCCCGCGCCUUUGAAUGUGAAAGAAAUUUGCAGUUUGAAAUGGGUUUAAGUUCGCGGAGUCUAACGAAGUUGCUACCUAGCGCUUUUCUCACGUUAACCAGAUUAACUCCUGCAGAGGCUAAUGAACGGCAGAAAAGGAUGGAGUCUUGUUUAAACCACUGUUUCUUAUCCUAAUUGCAAUAUUUUUCAACGUGUGUCAGUUGAUCUAUUCUGACCCAAUUGAAAAAAAUGAUGACUUGAAGAUUCUCAACAACGACGAGCUUGAAAAUUUGGCAGAGUACAUCUGCCACAAACUUGGUAAAGACAACCCCGAAAUUUGUGCCAAUUCAAAGAACUGUUCGUCUUAUACUUGGGUGGAUCACCUAUCUGAAGGAGGACUCUCAAAACCAUAUGAUGGAGCAUAUGAGAGGCUUGCAAGCAGUAUUUGACGACUUAAAUGGUACUGAUUUGCAUAUGUAUAUGUACAAAUUACGUCCAGAAGCACUUAGAUUUAAGUAAUUUUGUAAAUUGUACCAAAGUAAAAUAAUUGUUUUUCAGAGCUAGAAUGUAUUUUAGGAUUCGUUCCUUAAAUAAAAACUUAAUUGAAAAUACAUAUGUACAGCAAAAAAAGAAAAUUAAAUA